Molecule: ribosomal RNA, 274 nt
Filed under: uncultured bacterium
Lineage: Bacteria
Description: partial 16S ribosomal RNA
Rfam family: Bacterial small subunit ribosomal RNA
Source: RNAcentral
AUACAGAGGGUGCGAGCGUUAAUCGGAAUUACUGGGCGUAAAGCGCGCGUAGGCGGCUACUUAAGUCAGAUGUGAAAUCCCCGAGCUCAACCUGGGAACUGCAUCUGAUACUGGGUAGCUAGAGUUUAGGAGAGGGAAGUAGAAUUUCAGGUGUAGCGGUGAAAUGCAUAGAGAUCUGAAGGAAUACCAGUGGCGAAGGCGGCUUCCUGGCCUAAAACUGACGCUGAGGUGCGAAAGCGUGGGUAGCAAACGGGAUUAGAAACCCCGGUAGUCC